CGCGUAGGCGGUUCGGUAAGUUGCUGGUGAAAUCCCGGGGCUCAACUCCGGGGCUGCCGGCAAGACUGUCGGACUUGAGCACGGUAGGGGCAGAUGGAAUUCCCGGUGUAGCGGUGGAAUGCGUAGAGAUCGGGAAGAAUACCAGUGGCGAAGGCGUUCUGCUGGGCCGUUGCUGACGCUGAGGCGCGACAGCGUGGGGAGCAAACAGGAUUAGAUACCCUGGUAGUCCACGCCGUAAACGAUGGACACUAGGCGUCGGGGGGAGCGACCCUCCCGGUGCCGUCGCUAACGCAGUAAGUGUCCCGCCUGGGGAGUACGGCCGCAAGGCUGAA
Molecule: ribosomal RNA, 332 nt
Filed under: uncultured Gemmatimonas sp.
Lineage: Bacteria; Pseudomonadati; Gemmatimonadota; Gemmatimonadia; Gemmatimonadales; Gemmatimonadaceae
Description: bacterial SSU rRNA
Rfam family: Bacterial small subunit ribosomal RNA
Source: RNAcentral